UACGGAGGGUGCGAGCGUUGUCCGGAAUCACUGGGCGUAACGGGCGCGUAGGCGGCCUGGUAAGUAGGGGGUGAAAUCCUGCGGCUUAACCGCAGGGCUGCCUUCUAAACUGUCAGGCUCGAGCACGGUAGAGGCAGAUGGAAUUCCCGGUGUAGCGGUGGAAUGCGUAGAGAUCGGGAAGAACAUCAGUGGCGAAGGCGGUCUGCUGGGCCGUUGCUGACGCUGAUGUGCGAAAGCUAGGGGAGCAAACGGG
Molecule: ribosomal RNA, 253 nt
Filed under: uncultured bacterium
Lineage: Bacteria
Description: partial 16S ribosomal RNA
Rfam family: Bacterial small subunit ribosomal RNA
Source: RNAcentral